ACGUCAAGUCAUCAUGGCCCUUAUGUCCAGGGCGACGACACGUGCUACAAUGGCCGGCGACAACGGGAAGCGAGUUCGCGAGGACGAGCGGAUCCUCAAAAGCCGGUCGCAGUUCGGAUUGAAGUCUGCAACUCGACUUCAUGAAGCUGGAAUCGCUAGUAAUCGUGGAUCAGCCAAGCCGCGGUGAAUACGUUCCCGGGCCUU
RNAcentral lists this ribosomal RNA (204 nucleotides) under uncultured Synergistaceae bacterium. RNAcentral describes it as "partial 16S ribosomal RNA". It matches the Rfam family "Bacterial small subunit ribosomal RNA", at positions 1182 to 1382 of the family's 1533-position model. Lineage: Bacteria; Thermotogati; Synergistota; Synergistia; Synergistales; Synergistaceae. The record is from RNAcentral.